RNAcentral lists this transfer RNA (73 nucleotides) under Clostridiales bacterium. RNAcentral describes it as "tRNA-Arg". It matches the Rfam family "tRNA". Rfam says of the family: Transfer RNA (tRNA) molecules are approximately 80 nucleotides in length. Their secondary structure includes four short double-helical elements and three loops (D, anti-codon, and T loops). The record is from RNAcentral. Lineage: Bacteria; Bacillati; Bacillota; Clostridia; Eubacteriales.
GCGAUCCUAGCUCAGCGGAUAGAGCGUUCGGCUCCGAACCGAAAGGUCGGGGGUUCAAUUCCCCCGGAUCGCG